Solanum tuberosum (potato) is the source of this 1028-nucleotide RNA transcript. It is a transcript of the gene named protein LIGHT-DEPENDENT SHORT HYPOCOTYLS 10-like, with no coding region annotated. The record is from RefSeq and is a predicted model, not a curated record. The transcript is spliced from 3 exons. Lineage: Eukaryota; Viridiplantae; Streptophyta; Magnoliopsida; Solanales; Solanaceae.
UUUGUAUAAUCUUUUCAAUAGUUGCCUCAUUUUUGGCUACAAAAAUCGAUCAAUCACAAUCCAUUUCAAGAAUUCCACUUGAAAAAAAAAAUAUGUCAAAUUUUGAUAGAGGCAAAGAAUUGGUUGAGGGAUCAUCAAGAUCCCCGGGCGAUCAACCUGCUACGCCUAGUCGAUAUGAGUCUCAGAAACGUCGUGAUUGGAACACGUUUGGUCAGUACCUAAGGAAUCAAAGACCACCCGUUUCCAUGUCCCAAUGCAAUAGCAACCACGUGUUGGAGUUCCUUAGGUACCUUGACCAGUUUGGGAAGACUAAGGUUCACUUGCAAGGUUGUAUCUUUUAUGGUCAACCCGAGCCUCCGGCUCCCUGUACUUGUCCAUUAAGACAAGCCUGGGGGAGCCUGGAUGCUCUGAUCGGGCGGCUCAGAGCCGCCUAUGAAGAAAACGGUGGCUCCCCAGAGACGAACCCUUUCGCAAGCGGCGCGAUUAGGGUGUAUCUAAGGGAAGUGAAAGAGUGUCAAGCAAAAGCAAGAGGAAUUCCGUACAAAAAGAAAAAGAAGAAGGCUAGUGAGAGCAAAGGAGAUGAUGAUUGCACUUCUUCUCACCCAUUUUCUUGAUCCAAAAAAUGGAUCUAUGGAAGAUAGUAGACGAUACACAAACCUAUGAGAAAAGUGAUGAAUUGUGUCUUCAUGAGCAGGUUAUUGCUGAACACUUAAAGGGAUUUGCUAUAUAUAUAUAUAGCUCUGGAAGAAUUAUGUCUCAUAUUUAUCAAGUCACCAUUUGGUUUUUUAUUUUAUAUAUAUAUAAGUGCCUUGAUUUCCUUUUUUUCUGCUAAUUAAUUAAUUAGCAGUCAUGUUCAAUCAUAGGCCUUUUCUUUAAAUUACUUUUUAGUAAUUAAGUAUUCUACUGUUUUUUCCCUUAUAUUUCUCAGUUGUUUGUGAAUCCUAAAUUAGUUCUUGUAAGAUGAUUAUUAUAAACUCUUUUGUACAAUUAAGUGAUCAUUAAUUUGAAUCCAAACCCUACUGUACGUA